Condylura cristata (star-nosed mole) is the source of this 3094-nucleotide RNA transcript. It is a transcript of the gene named arginyl-tRNA synthetase, with no coding region annotated. The record is from RefSeq and is a predicted model, not a curated record. NCBI's taxonomy places the organism in Eukaryota, Metazoa, Chordata, Mammalia, Eulipotyphla, Talpidae. The transcript has 16 exons.
AAGGUUUACAGGCGUGGGGACGAGACCCCGGACCCUGCCCAGACCUCGGCGGGUCGGCGUCAGCGAGACAGAGACCGCCGGGUCGCCUCGGACGCGGGAAAAAGAGAUCAAGUCUCUGACUGCUGAAAUUGAUCGGUUGAAAAACUGUGGCUGUUCAGAAGCUUCUGCAAAUUUGGAACAGUUGCGAGAAGAAAAUUUGAAGUUGAAGUAUAGACUGAAUAUCCUUCGAAAGAGUCUUCAGGCAGAAAGGAACAGACCAACCAAAAACAUGAUUAACAUUAACAGUCGCCUACAGGAAGUUUUUGGUUGUGCCAUUAAGUCUGCUUAUCCAAAUCUGGAAAAUCCUCCUCUGAUAGUAACACCAAGUCAACAGCCCAAGUUUGGGGAUUAUCAGUGCAAUAGUGCAAUGGGCAUCUCUCAGAUACUCAAAACCAAGGAACAGAAAGUUAAUCCAAGAGAAAUUGCUGAAAAUAUUACCAAACACCUCCCAGACAGUGAAUGUAUUGAAAAAGUUGAAAUUGCUGGUCCUGGUUUCAUUAAUAUCCACUUAAAAAAGGACUUUGUAUCAAAACAAUUGACCAAUCUCUUGUUGAAUGGUGUUCAGCUCCCUUCUCUUGGAGAGAAUAAAAAGGUUGUAGUUGACUUUUCCUCUCCAAACAUAGCUAAAGAAAUGCAUGUGGGCCAUCUUAGGUCAACUAUCAUAGGAGAGAGCAUGUGCCGCCUCUUUGAAUUUGCAGGAUAUGAUGUGCUAAGAUUGAACCACAUCGGAGACUGGGGCACUCAGUUUGGCAUGCUCAUCGCUCACCUGCAGGAUAAGUUUCCAGAUUACUUAACAGUUUCGCCUCCUAUUGGGGAUCUUCAGGCCUUUUAUAAGGAGUCCAAGAAGAGGUUUGAUACUGAGGAGGAAUUUAAGAAGCGAGCGUACCAGUGUGUGGUUCUGCUCCAGAGUAAAAAUCCAGAUAUCAUAAAAGCUUGGAAACUUAUUUGUGAUGUCUCCCGCCAAGAGUUUAAUAAAAUCUACGAGGCUUUGGAUAUCUCUUUAAUAGAGAGGGGGGAAUCCUUCUAUCAAGAUCGGAUGAAUGAUGUUGUAAAAGAAUUUGAAGAUAAAGGAUAUGUGCAAGUGGAUGAUGGCAGAAAGAUUGUGUUUGUCCCAGGAUGUUCUGUACCAUUAACCAUAGUAAAAUCAGAUGGAGGUUAUACCUAUGACACAUCUGACCUGGCAGCCAUUAAACAAAGACUAUUUGAAGAGAAAGCAGAUAUGAUUAUCUAUGUGGUAGACAGUGGUCAGGCUGUGCAUUUCCAGACAAUAUUUGGUGCUGCUCAAAUGAUUGGUUGGUAUGACCCUAACAUAACUCGAAUUUCUCAUGCUGGAUUUGGUGUGGUGCUGGGGGAAGACAAGAAAAAGUUUAAAACGCGUUCUGGUGAAACAGUGCGCCUCAUAGACCUUUUGGAAGAAGGACUAAAGCGAUCAAUGGAGAAAUUGAAGGAAAAAGAAAGAGAUAAGGUCUUAACUGCAGAAGAAUUGAAGGCUGCUCAGACAUCCGUUGCUUAUGGCUGUAUCAAAUAUGCUGAUCUUUCCCAUAACCGAUUGAAUGACUAUAUCUUCUCUUUUGACAAAAUGCUGGAUGACAGAGGAAACACAGCUGCUUACUUGUUGUAUGCCUUCACUAGAAUCAGAUCUAUUACUCGUCUAGCCAAUAUUGAUGAAGAGAUGCUUAAGAAAGCUGCUCGAGAAACCAAGAUCAUUUUGGACCAUGAGAAGGAAUGGAAGUUAGGCCGGUGCAUCUUACGGUUCCCUGAGAUUCUGCAAAAGAUUUUAGAUGACUUACUUCUCCAUACACUCUGUGAUUACAUCUAUGAGCUGGCAACUACUUUCACAGAAUUCUACGAUAGCUGCUAUUGUGUGGAGAAAGAUCGACAAACUGGAAAAGUGUUGAAGGUGAACAUGUGGCGAAUGCUGUUGUGUGAAGCAGUAGCUGCUGUCAUGGCCAAGGGGUUCGAUAUCCUGGGAAUAAAACCUGUCCAAAGAAUGUAAUCUUAGGUUUGAACAUUGUUUUUACCAAAGUAGCCAUUAGCACUGUUUGCUUUUUUACAAUCAUGUGGAUAUAAAAACAAGUAAAAGAAGUUUCUCAGCUAGCCAAGUAAUAUGUGAUUCUUUAUCGCUAAUUACUAGACUUCUGAAGAGAAAAAAGUACUUCACUGUCUCAUUUAGAGUUUUUAGUCCAUUGUUCUGUUGUAGAUACUUGUCUUUGUUUGACAAAACUGAAGCUCCUUGGAAAGAGAAACCUGCCCUGGAUUGCUCAGGAACAAAAUCGAGAUUCAUAUCCGUGUGUGUCUAAUUCCCAAAGUUAAGCUUUUCCCAUUUCAGCAAAAGACAACAGUGAAGGGAAAAGCGGACAAGAAAAUUUAAGAGACUAGAACUUUCUUGAAGCUAUAGAUUGAUUCUUAUUGGUCAUAUGCCAAUUGUAAUUUCAAGGGAAAGUGGAAAACAGAUAAGAAUGGGAUUGUCAUGAUUUGCUGAUAUCAGUCAAGUUUCAUCUCCGGGGCUUGGCAUGCUAUUAUCUGGAGUUCUACAUCACAAAAGGUGAUACUACGGUGAUGGUUCAUGGAGCUAAAUCUUUGCACACACCUGUGACCAAUCUCCUAGUAAACACUAAGAAGUUGAAUAUUAAAGGAUUCAGCUCACAUUACCAAAUGGCUCUAGAGAGUACCUGCAGUCCCAGGGGCAGUGUACAAAAUUCUGUUCAUAGUACCUUAUCCAACCCUGGAUAUCUAGUUUGACAGGAUUGACACUGCAAGGUUAGUGCUGGGAAAAUCAAUCAGCCUAAAAUUAUUUAACUGUGUUAAAAUACAAGAGAAGUAUAUGCUCUGGGUUUUUAUCCAGUCCAACCACUUAUUUCCCUGCUGUUUGACUCUAAAAGAGCUAUCUAGUCUCUCCUGGCCUUCAUCCAUGUUGCCUGCCAACUGGGAGAACAGUGUCAUAGAACAGUGUUACUGUGCACCUCUCGCCUCUCCAACUUUAUAAGUUGAUGCCCUAGCCCUCAGUGUGACUGAAUUUGGAAACGGCUUUUAAAGAGGUAAUUAAAGUUAAAUG